This is an RNA transcript of Selaginella moellendorffii, 3195 nucleotides long. It is a transcript of the gene named CBS domain-containing protein CBSX5, with no coding region annotated. The transcript has 9 exons. The record is from RefSeq and is a predicted model, not a curated record. Lineage: Eukaryota; Viridiplantae; Streptophyta; Lycopodiopsida; Selaginellales; Selaginellaceae.
UUGGAUGAAGCGCAAGAUCCAAGAAGAGGGAGAUGGGUCUGGGAGCUCCGAGCUCAGCAGGGAGGAUUCCGACGAUCGCUCCACCUCGAGAAUGGAUUCCGGCGAAGCGAUCGCGUCCGAAGAGUCUAGCGCUGUGGGAUUCGUUACUUCUCCCACAUUCUCAUCGCUUUUCUCAGUCACGCCUAGUUUCUCUUCGGGAGUUUCGGUUGCCUCGCUACAACAAGAAAAGAAAGCGUAUCGACGGCACCGGAGAAGAUUGGCGAGGAUCGUGACUGAGCAGUGGAAAUACGCUGCUCGAUCGCUUUGAAAGUGUGGAGGAUCUGGGAAGCUCGCGCUCAAUGGUAACAAAAGCACAUAGCAGAACUCUAAAACUCGGACCAAAUGAAUCACUCUAAUAAUCAGCACUGGAAAGCAGGCUAAGAAACCAAACCCUGUAGGAAUGCGUUUCUUCACUGGAGGGACGCUGCCAAAGAGAACGCAGCCAUAGCCAGGAAUGUGGAGCUGUUAUUUCCGAUAUGUCUGUCCCGAAGACAUUUUAGACCAUGGAGGAACUUCGUCAGACGCCGGAAAAGGCUUCGAGCUUGUCAGAUUUAUUUCUCUCUGUCAUGGUCAGCCAGGAAGACAAGGAACAUAAUGUUCUCAUGGCGCGAGUACGCUGAUACGCGUCUCAUGCAUCAGAAACAUAUGUGCACGGCCAUUCAUUACCAUAUGAUUUCAUCGCUGUCAAGGUGUUUCAGUGACUGGAAAAUGGCUCGUCAGGAAAAGCAAAAGAAGGAGUUCUACAAAAAAGUCGCUUAUGCUAAGUGGAACUUUAGCCGACAGAGAUUCGCCUUGCGGGCAUGGAAUUAUUUCCUGGUACUGAAGCACGAGAAGGCAUCGAUAACCGAGGCACGGCGGCUUAAAAAUUUAUCAAUGUGUUUCCAUUUUUGGUACUCGAGACGGAAAUCUCUUUCUGUCUCAGAUUCAGAAAGCGAAAGUUCCGUGGAUUCCCUGCUUGAAAAAGACACGCUUUUUCUUGUUGUGGACAGCCAUUUCAAGAGGAAAAAACAGAGGCACAUCUUAUGUGCUUGGUCGAAACUAGCAAAGUCACGUUCUUCAGCCAAGCUAACCAUCGACACGUUCUAUCGCGACAAAGUACUAUUUAAUAUCCUGCAUGAAUCCCUGCAAUGCUGGAUAAAGUAUCAUUUUUCUAUCAAGUUUCGACGAGCGCAACAAAAUAAGGCAGUGAGGUACUGGACGUUUUACAGGGUACGAAGCUGCAUGAGAUGGUGGCUGCGGUACAAAACGUCGAAAGCUUCCAAACAAAGGUGUAAAAGCUUAGCAACGAAGCACUGGGAGUCUGGCACUGCAAUGAACUCCUUGUACCGGUGGAUAGAUUAUUGUUACUGGAACAAGUCGCGCCAAGAGAAACAGGGAUUGGCUUCUAGACAGUGGAGGGGCUUUAGAUUGAAAGGGAUAUUUCACAGGUGGAUGGAAUUCAGCUCGGCUUCAAAGAGAAAGAGAGAUAUGAUAGACAAAGCAAGAGAUGGACGGGUUGAACUGGUUAUUAGGAAGGGAUUUUCUGCUUGGAUAAGUUUUUUCCGAGGACGCAAAAGGAGAAAGAUGGCAAUGGAACAACAAUGUGAGGAGCUCAUGGAGUUACUGGAUUCGUCGAGGCUAGCCAACACAUGGAAGCUCUGGCAACGGUUUGUACGAGAUGGUGUAACAAAGAGUCGCAAGUACGAGAAGGCCGAGAUUUUCUGUAGAGAGCACAGUGCUCGAGCUGUUCUCCGCGCGUGGCACAAUCUACAAGCGCCAUCAUCGUCCAAGCAUGAAGCCGGAGUUUUCUACACCAAACUUCUCCAAAGACUUGCAUUCCUGGGAUGGUUUCAAGUCCAAAAGUCGAAGAGUUCAGUCAGGUACGUCAGAUACGCUUUGAUUUGCAGUACGCUUCAUCGUCCUUUUUGCAGGAAGUCCCAAAGCCUGAGUCCACAGCAGCAGCAAGACCACGCAGUGAAAGUGCCGGACUUACCUGGAUCUAGAGAGACCACUGGAACGGAGCUGCUAGAACAGUUUGAAAACGAUUCCAAAGGCAUGAAGAAUGGACGCUUGCGUCCACCUCCUCGAAGGCCUGCCUUGCCACUCACCGACGUAAGACACUCCUUACUCUCACAGUCUCCAGCUUUCGAUUCUUCCAGCUUGUCCGCACAAUCUGGGACCCGGGACUACUUGCCUUCUUUCUCACUCCCAACCAGACCGGACGAUAGCGAUCCAUACCUCUUGCUCCAAAAGCGACUCAACAAGGACUCCAAGGAACUUCUCACCAGGACAGCGACGGCAACAGCACCUUCUCUGGAGUUUCUGGCGUGCCUUGACUCCUCCGAGACCGAGUUCUCACACGUUAUCGCGGACGAAGUUGCGUGGAUGGACCAUCUUCUCGCCGGCUUCGAAGACUUGAGAGCCGAGCUGGUUGAAAAGAGAGCGGAGCUUGCGCUGGUGCUGGAAAGGAACGGGUCAGGAUCCAGGGACAAGGCACAGCUUUUGACGCAGAAAAUCUCAAUGCUCCAACAGCGCCGGGCUAUACUUUUGCCAACAAUCCAGGCAGUGGCAUCUGUGGUGCCGGGCCUUCGUCUGCGAGCUCGCAAAGUCACGUCCUCUUCCAUGGAGAGCUCCAGCAACUUCCGAAAGUGAGGAGGAAGAAGACGAUCGAGGGGAGGAAGAAAUGAAGAUUGAGAAGAUCGAGAUGAAGAGGAAAACGAUGAAUGAAUCUACACUUUAAUCGGUUACUCCAUUUCAUUCGAUUCGGGAUCCAGGGACAAAAGAGAAAUCUCUCUUUUACCCAUCUCUCGAAAGCAAAAGCAGUCGAUCUGAUUUUUUCUCGCCCAGCGUCGUUGGAGAGAUCGAAAGAGUCAAGAAAAAGUACGGUGCGUAUACGUAGUCCUUUUUCCUACGACGUACGCGUGUUUAAUCCUAAGUAAACGGGGGUUUAAGCAAAUCUAAGCAAGCUUCGCAUCCAACGGCUGCGAUUGGCUCCAUGUCCAGGAUCCAACGGUGGACUGCCCAUUAUUUAUAAGUAUCUUAGGGCAAAGUGGGCCAGUGCGUCUUCUCUGUCACAACAGCAAGGUAGCAGCACAGCUUUUUCUUUGCCCUCUUCGCUUGUCCGAUCCGAUCUCUCGAUCGCCAUUUCUCUCAAUCCGGGGAAAAGAAUUCCCAGCU